AACGAGGCCGACCUGCGGCUGAGUUACCUGCGGAAGGAUCAUUACAGAGUUGCAAAACUCCCUAAACCAUUGUGAACGUUACCUAAACCGUUGCUUCGGCGGGCGGCCCGGGUCCUUCCCGGCGCCCCUCGGCCCUCGCGGGCGCCCGCCGGAGGUAAACCAAACUAUUGCAUUGUAUGGCCUCUCUGAGUCUUCUGUACUGAAUAAGUCAAAACUUUUAACAACGGAUCUCAGAUCGGA
This 240-nucleotide unclassified non-coding RNA is filed under the name soil metagenome. Its description in RNAcentral is "partial contains 5.8S ribosomal RNA, internal transcribed spacer 2, and large subunit ribosomal RNA". The record is from RNAcentral.